This 700-nucleotide ribosomal RNA is filed under the name Pseudomonas sp. RNAcentral describes it as "bacterial SSU rRNA". It matches the Rfam family "Bacterial small subunit ribosomal RNA", at positions 56 to 753 of the family's 1533-position model. Lineage: Bacteria; Pseudomonadati; Pseudomonadota; Gammaproteobacteria; Pseudomonadales; Pseudomonadaceae. The record is from RNAcentral.
UGCAGUCGAGCGGAUGAGAGAGCUUGCUCUCUGAUUCAGCGGCGGACGGGUGAGUAAUGCCUAGGAAUCUGCCUGGUAGUGGGGGACAACGUUUCGAAAGGAACGCUAAUACCGCAUACGUCCUACGGGAGAAAGCAGGGGACCUUCGGGCCUUGCGCUAUCAGAUGAGCCUAGGUCGGAUUAGCUAGUUGGUGAGGUAAUGGCUCACCAAGGCGACGAUCCGUAACUGGUCUGAGAGGAUGAUCAGUCACACUGGAACUGAGACACGGUCCAGACUCCUACGGGAGGCAGCAGUGGGGAAUAUUGGACAAUGGGCGAAAGCCUGAUCCAGCCAUGCCGCGUGUGUGAAGAAGGUCUUCGGAUUGUAAAGCACUUUAAGUUGGGAGGAAGGGUUGUAGAUUAAUACUCUGCAAUUUUGACGUUACCGACAGAAUAAGCACCGGCUAACUCUGUGCCAGCAGCCGCGGUAAUACAGAGGGUGCAAGCGUUAAUCGGAAUUACUGGGCGUAAGCGCGCGUAGGUGGUUCGUUAAGUUGGAUGUGAAAGCCCCGGGCUCAACCUGGGAACUGCAUUCAAAACUGACGAGCUAGAGUAUGGUAGAGGGUGGGUGGAAUUUCCUGUGUAGCGGUGAAAUGCGUAGAUAUAGGAAGGAACACCAGUGGCGAAGCGACCACCUGGACUGAUACUGACACUGAGUGCG